UGGGGAAUAUUGGACAAUGGGCGAAAGCCUGAUCCAGCCAUGCCGCGUGAGUGAUGAAGGCCUUAGGGUUGUAAAGCUCUUUUAGCAGGGAAGAUAAUGACGGUACCUGCAGAAAAAGCCCCGGCUAACUUCGUGCCAGCAGCCGCGGUAAUACGAAGGGGGCUAGCGUUGCUCGGAAUUACUGGGCGUAAAGCGCACGUAGGCGGACUCUUAAGUCGGUGGUGAAAUCCUGGAGCUCAACUCCAGAACUGCCUUCGAUACUGGGAGUCUUGAGUUCGGGAAAGGUGAGUGGAACUGCGAGUGUAGAGGUGAAAUUCGUAGAUAUUCGCAAGAACACCAGUGGCGAAGGCGGCUCACUGGCCCGAUACUGACGCUGAGGUGCGAAAGCGUGGGGAGCAAACA
Molecule: ribosomal RNA, 402 nt
Filed under: uncultured bacterium
Lineage: Bacteria
Description: bacterial SSU rRNA
Rfam family: Bacterial small subunit ribosomal RNA
Source: RNAcentral